Non-coding RNA from Acanthosepion pharaonis, 99 nucleotides. Lineage: Eukaryota; Metazoa; Mollusca; Cephalopoda; Sepiida; Sepiidae. The record is from the annotation of a GenBank genome assembly.
UGUUGAAACACAGGUUCCCAUACAAUCACUGAAGUUAAGCAAUGUCAAACCUAGUUAGUACCUAGGUGGGUAACUGCUUGAGAAUACCAGCUGCUGUGA